UUAUCGGAGAGUUUGAUCCUGGCUCAGGACGAACGCUGGCGGCGUGCCUAAUACAUGCAAGUCGAGCGGACAGAUGGGAGCUUGCUCCCUGAUGUUAGCGGCGGACGGGUGAGUAACACGUGGGUAACCUGCCUGUAAGACUGGGAUAACUCCGGGAAACCGGGGCUAAUACCGGAUGGUUGUUUGAACCGCAUGGUUCAAACAUAAAAGGUGGCUUCGGCUACCACUUACAGAUGGACCCGCGGCGCAUUAGCUAGUUGGUGAGGUAACGGCUCACCAAGGCAACGAUGCGUAGCCGACCUGAGAGGGUGAUCUACCACACUGGGACUGAGACACUACCCCAGACUCCUACGGGAGGCAGCAGUAGGGAAUCUUCCGCAAUGGACGAAAGUCUGACGGAGCAACGCCGCGUGAGUGAUGAAGGUUUUCGGAUCGUAAAGCUCUGUUGUUAGGGAAGAACAAGUACCGUUCGAAUAGGGCGGUACCUUGACGGUACCUAACCAGAAAGCCACGGCUAACUACGUGCCAGCAGCCGCGGUAAUACGUAGGUGGCAAGCGUUGUCCGGAAUUAUUGGGCGUAAAGGGCUCGCAGGCGGUUUCUUAAGUCUGAUGUGAAAGCCCCCGGCUCAACCGGGGAGGGUCAUUGGAAACUGGGGAACUUGAGUGCAGAAGAGGAGAGUGGAAUUCCACGUGUAGCGGUGAAAUGCGUAGAGAUGUGGAGGAACACCAGUGGCGAAGGCGACUCUCUGGUCUGUAACUGACGCUGAGGAGCGAAAGCGUGGGGAGCGAACAGGAUUAGAUACCCUGGUAGUCCACGCCGUAAACGAUGAGUGCUAAGUGUUAGGGGGUUUCCGCCCCUUAGUGCUGCAGCUAACGCAUUAAGCACUCCGCCUGGGGAGUACGGUCGCAAGACUGAAACUCAAAGGAAUUGACGGGGGCCGCACAAGCGGUGGAGCAUGUGGUUUAAUUCGAAGCAACGCGAAGAACCUUACCAGGUCUUGACAUCCUCUGACAAUCCUAGAGAUAGGACGUCCCCUUCGGGGGCAGAGUGACAGGUGGUGCAUGGUUGUCGUCAGCUCGUGUCGUGAGAUGUUGGGUUAAGUCCCGCAACGAGCGCAACCCUUGAUCUUAGUUGCCAGCAUUCAGUUGGGCACUCUAAGGUGACUGCCGGUGACAAACCGGAGGAAGGUGGGGAUGACGUCAAAUCAUCAUGCCCCUUAUGACCUGGGCUACACACGUGCUACAAUGGACAGAACAAAGGGCAGCGAAACCGCGAGGUUAAGCCAAUCCCACAAAUCUGUUCUCAGUUCGGAUCGCAGUCUGCAACUCGACUGCGUGAAGCUGGAAUCGCUAGUAAUCGCGGAUCAGCAUGCCGCGGUGAAUACGUUCCCGGCCUUGUACACACCGCCCGUCACACCACGAGAGUUUGUAACACCCGAAGUCGGUGAGGUAACCUUUUAGGAGCCAGCCGCCGAAGGUGGGACAGAUGAUUGGGGUGAAGUCGUAACAAGGUAGCCGUAUCGGAAGGUGCGGCUGGAUCACCUCCUUU
This 1549-nucleotide ribosomal RNA is filed under the name Bacillus subtilis. RNAcentral's name for it is "bacterial SSU rRNA". It matches the Rfam family "Bacterial small subunit ribosomal RNA". The record is from RNAcentral. Lineage: Bacteria; Bacillati; Bacillota; Bacilli; Caryophanales; Bacillaceae.